GUCCUUAUCAUAAGACAGGCCCCAGAAUCCUUUGUAUCUGUCUAGUUCGGGAGGUGCUUUUUCCUGAGCCUUCAGUGGAUCUCAGCAUUGUCUAUUUAUUCAGGAAUAUAGAUCUCAUUUGAGUUACCUAAGAAGUUUCUGAAUUGAGUGAUUAUGUAAUGUAGGGUGAGGUUUAUAGAUCUUAACUCACCUGCCAUGGCCAGCAACAUACUCUACACGCGAUAGGUAUUGAACCAAGAUUUACUUAUUUUUUAGUUGUAGAGUGCUUCUUUUGUUUCCUUCCACUCAAUAACUUUUCUCAAUGUCUUUUUCUUCUGGCUGUUUCUGAUACUCCCUAGUUAGUAUCCAGCUGGAUAUAAAAUGCUGUCCUUCUACCUCUAAAAACUGAGUUGGCUUACUAGGAAGGCAUUUUGGGCCCAGCUUUAGUGUAAAAGCCCUGCUUAUUUACCUUUGUCCCAAUGUCUUUGGACCCCCGAGUCGACCCCAUCUGUGUUGCAUGUGAAAGCCCAGGGGCCGGGCUGUGAAGCUGAGAAGAUGCUUAAUCCUGGACUUGUCUUCAAGAUUUCCAAACACCUAACUCAGGGAUCAUUUCUUUUAAGAGUGCUCAGUGAUCCAGGCACUUGACCCUACAGCCAAGAGAGAGGGAAGACUACUUACUGGUCUAGCUGGCAGCAGACCCUGGCCUCGUCCACAUGAUGCUUUUAGGUGCAUGCAGAAUGCAAGAGUUGUGGGGUCAGGAAGGCUUCCACUCAGAUUUCAGAAGGUCUGGGAGGCCAGGCAGGGUGCCCGUGAGAAGGCAGACUGUGAAGUUGUGAGUGUGAAAAGCCAAAGGUGCAGUGGAGACCCCAGAAGUUUGGGGAAGCCAGGAGUGUGGUUCAUCUGAGGAAAGCUGCAAGGAGGGAG
Molecule: long non-coding RNA, 903 nt
Filed under: Heterocephalus glaber (naked mole-rat)
Lineage: Eukaryota; Metazoa; Chordata; Mammalia; Rodentia; Bathyergidae
Description: lncRNA (ENSHGLG00100031904.2)
Source: RNAcentral